AAGCAGGCAGUUAUCCCUUUCUAGCCUCCUUUCUAUGGCUCUAGAGGGAGUCAGCCUGCGAAAUGAAAUAAGGAAAACUGCAGCUUGCCCCCCAUGCAUUUUGGGUGUGUUUACCAGCUUUCCGAACAUCA
Podarcis lilfordi (Lilford's wall lizard) is the source of this 131-nucleotide non-coding RNA. NCBI's taxonomy places the organism in Eukaryota, Metazoa, Chordata, Lepidosauria, Squamata, Lacertidae. The record is from the annotation of a GenBank genome assembly.